UUUUUUUUUUUUUUUUUGUUUUUUUGGAGACAGGGUCUCAGUCUGUCACCUAGGCUGGAGUGUAAUGGCACCUGUGCUCAAACGAUCCUCCUGUCUCAGCCUCCCAAGCAGCUGGGACUACAGACAUGCUACAGGCAUGCACCAGCAUGCCUGUCUAAUCUUUUCUAAUAAAAUUUCUGCCUGCCUUAAAGACAGCACAGGGAGAAAUAUUUGAGCUUGACACUCCUAUCUCCUUGUGAGUCAACUUAUAUAUAAUAUAAAGUUUUUCUCAAAAACAACAAAAAACCCAGUGUCAUGGUAUCGGCUUCUGGCGCAUCUAGCAGGGAGCCGUUUUUACUACAGGGCAGGGCAGAGCUGUCUAGUGGUAGAGGCUCAGAUUGUCUCCAAAGUGGGGGAAAAUAUGUACAUUACAUACUAAAAUAAUAGAAAUAAGCACUGGUUCCCAGCUAUUGUUACUAAAACCAAGUGGAAGCUUCUUUGUUGGAAUGGUUGCUAAAAUGUUCUCAGCACAUGUUGGAAAAUAUUUUAAUGGACUCUUGGCUGGCAAGCUCCAGUCACGAGUCCCAAGUUUUCUCUCUAGUGGGUCUUCGCAACUCCGAAAAGCUGGUGCGAGGGAGAGUCACAGCUUGGGAGAGUGGCCCCUCAGCAGCUGCAGCACGCCAAGAUUCUAGCUGGGUUUCCGAGGCACCUGUUGUCCAAAUCAAGUGACUUCUCCCUUUCUCCUCUCGAUGCUGGGAAAGUAGCUCAGAUGCACAAUUGAUUCUGUUCCCACUUACGUCCCUAAGAAAAGGGCUGCUUUGUGUACUUUUCCUCCCAGUCCCUUUUACCCAGAGUCUCCCAGAUUAGGUGAGCCGCACACUAAUUAUGCCUGAGAUCAACACUACAACUCGGGUUCUUUCCAGCAGUCUGGAGCAAGUGAGUACUCACUUUGUCAUCUAUCAGGGCAGGCUUCAGCCUAAAGCUCAAUGCCCAGCAAUGCUCCUGCAGAGGAUGAAGCCCAUGAUGCCAUGUCUGGUCCUCUGCACAGCAGGGGAUAACAACACUCUGGUCUGCAAUCAUCCUGGCCCCUCUCUUCUUCCUGUAAUGCCAUCGAAGGUCUUGUUUAAGAGUCCAGCCAGGCCGGGCACGGUGGCUCAAGCCUAAAAGAAAACAAAACGAAACCCCUUCUGCUUGGAAAAAUGUCCAUCUUGGAAACUGGCACCUAGGAUGCCUCUAGAAUGAUAGAUAAGCAUCUGUCAUUGGCCCAGUAGUGAAGCAGCCACAUUAUUGUAGGAACAAAUAGUUGGAAAAUGAUACCAUCUCACGCUAUACCAGGAAUUACAAUGCACAAGAUACUCGCACAUUCCCGAUCUUAUUUGGUCCUCAUAGCAGCCUUGUGGGGUAGGCAAACAAGUGAUGAUGUCCUCUCCAUUUUACAAGGGGAAAAAAUGGGUUUGAUCCAGAGCAAUUGCCAUUGUACAUUUUUUUUUUUUUUUCUGGGGGGACAGAGUCUUGCUCUGUCGUGCAGGCUGGAGUGCAAUGAUG
Molecule: long non-coding RNA, 1524 nt
Filed under: Macaca fascicularis (crab-eating macaque)
Lineage: Eukaryota; Metazoa; Chordata; Mammalia; Primates; Cercopithecidae
Description: lncRNA (ENSMFAG00000062336.1)
Source: RNAcentral